UCAUUUACCAGAAUUUCCUUCCCCCUUUUGCCCUUUCCCUUUUUUCCCGUCGAAUAGCCUCUUUCUUUCUCUCAAAUAGCCGCUUUCUUCCCGUCGAAUCAGCCUGCAAAAUUUUCAGUUUUCUACCAAUUCCUUCAACAACCAAUUGUCCUUCCUUUUGAUUGCAACCCACAAAAUCCUCCACACGCACGUGAAUUUUUGUCCUGCCCCAAAAAUUAGGUCAGUAAAAUUUUUUCCCCCCAAAUCUAGAAGCCUGCAAAAUCUUCAAUUUUCUGUCAAUUCCUCGAGCAACUAAUUGUACUUCCACCAACUAAUUGUACUUCCUUUCGAUUACCUCUCAAAAAAUCAUCCACAUUCGCGUGAAUUCUUCUUUUUCCCCAAAAAACAGCUCACUCAAAUCUCUUUUUCCCCAAAAUCAGCUCAUUUUAGGGAUAGCUGUUCUACCGCCUUAUCAUCUAUGCUAUAGCUUUCAGAACUUACUAUUUCCAGCUCUAUAUAUACCUCUGUUUCCCAGUUUUGCCGGUAUUCAGCAGACGAGCGAAGAAAAUCUAGGUAAUUCAUAUUCUCUUUCCUUCUAUUUCGAGCUGCAAUUUUUUAGUUUUAGUUUGAUGACUGAGCUGCAAAUUUUAGUUUGAGCAACUAAUUUUAGUUUCUGUCAAUUUUUCAGUCAGCAUAUUAAGUUGCAAUUUUUUAGUUUGAUGAAUGUUCUUACCUUCUGUUUAUUUAUUAUUUAUAUUUAUUGCCAUGUUCUUACCUUCCGUUAAUUAAAGACUGCCAUGUGUUUGAUAUUAUAAAUAAAAGAAUAAUUAUGAUGCUAUUUUUUCGAUUAGCUUACGUUUACUUUUUUUCUCUGUUUUUAUAUUAUUUUCAAAUGCUACCGGACUUUUGCCAACAUUCAGGCGAGCAAAGAAAAUAUAGGUAUGUUUCUAUUUUAUCACCUUCUAUUUUGAACUGCAAGUUUUUUUUUCACUGUUGUUGCCUCUGUUUAUUGCUUUCUCUUAAUUAAGAAAUGCGAUGUGUUUGAUGUUAUGCUAUGAUAGUUUACUUUUCCCUCUGUUUUUUAUUUCAAAUGUUGCAUGAUGCUGUUAGCUGCUUAUCUAUUCAAUAAUUACAUCAUUUAGUAUCAUUGUCCUUUGGCUUAUUAAGGUUGUCAUUUUAUAUAUAUUACUUAGUUUUAGCUAUUCUAGGAUGCUUUGAUUCUGUCAUUUUGUGUGCCUUUGGAUUAGCAUUUUGCUUUGUUUAUAGUAAAAUUAGAUUUUGAUUUUUUGUGUUUCAAAAUGAAAAAAAAAAAGAAAAUUUAGUACAGGUUUUAGAUUGAUAGAUGAAAUGUUUGAUGAUUCCCCUGAUCUAAGAAUGUUGGAAAGAAACAAAAAGACAAACUUAAAUAUGCUGACUUAAAUAAGCUUCAAUUGUUCACACCAAGCACAAAGUUGGUACUUGAAGAAAUUGCUGGAGCCAGUUCUUACAAAGACAGCCAGACAUCUGCAACCAGUGGAGCAAAACGAAGCCUUGAGUUUCCAGAAGAUUUACCAGCAGACACACAUGCUAAACAUCCAACAAAGGCUCCUGAAGAGUUUGCCAAAGAACCUGCAAAACUGUAUGGUCCACCUGCAAAUAUCAAAGACAGUCCAACCAAGAAAGCUAAAGCAAAGGAAGACUAAUAUGGCCUAUUUCUGUACUUUUGUUAAAUCUUUUGUUCAUUGCCUUUCCUCGAUUGCUUAGACAAUAUCUUUUGAAUUAUAUUAUGAUCCAUUAUUCUUUUGACUUAAAAAGUAAUGGAUCGUAAUAUACUUAGUAAUAGUUUAACCAUCAAUGCUGUACUUCAUUAGGCAAUGAAGCUUAUUUAAGCCUCCUAAUAUGUAACUGUGGCUGGCAUCCAAGUAUCCAUUCUACUAAGACAUGAAUGAUUGAGUUUAUGUAAUGUAUUAUUGUGAUUUGCAUAGUAUUUAUAUCUUGAGCCUGUAUAUACAUGAUGAUGUUUUAGGAAA
Molecule: long non-coding RNA, 1988 nt
Filed under: Coffea arabica (coffee)
Lineage: Eukaryota; Viridiplantae; Streptophyta; Magnoliopsida; Gentianales; Rubiaceae
Description: long non-coding RNA (CARA_LNC000449)
Source: RNAcentral